GAUGAACGCUGGCGGCGUGCCUAAUACAUGCAAGUCGAGCGAACAGACGAGGAGCUUGCUCCUCUGACGUUAGCGGCGGACGGGUGAGUAACACGUAGAUAACCUACCUAUAAGACUGGGAUAACUUCGGGAAACCGGAGCUAAUACCGGAUAAUAUAUUGAACCGCAUGGUUCAAUAGUGAAAGACGGUUUUGCUGUCACUUAUAGAUGGAUCCGCGCCGCAUUAGCUAGUUGGUAAGGUAACGGCUUACCAAGGCAACGAUGCGUAGCCGACCUGAGAGGGUGAUCGGCCACACUGGAACUGAGACACGGUCCAGACUCCUACGGGAGGCAGCAGUAGGGAAUCUUCCGCAAUGGGCGAAAGCCUGACGGAGCAACGCCGCGUGAGUGAUGAAGGUCUUCGGAUCGUAAAACUCUGUUAUUAGGGAAGAACAAAUGUGUAAGUAACUAUGCACGUCUUGACGGUACCUAAUCAGAAAGCCACGGCUAACUACGUG
RNAcentral lists this ribosomal RNA (497 nucleotides) under uncultured bacterium. Its description in RNAcentral is "partial 16S ribosomal RNA". It matches the Rfam family "Bacterial small subunit ribosomal RNA", at positions 28 to 507 of the family's 1533-position model. The record is from RNAcentral.